AGAACCGAGGGCGUGCCCUUCCGCAAAACAAGGUUGGCUCUUCCUCUGAGACCCGGGCCUGUGUCUGCCAUCGCUGAGUCAUCACGAAUCCCCCUGCCACCUCCAUGUUGUCAGCCGGUGAGGAACAGCCGCACCAGACACCUUCCCGCCUCAGUCCAGAACGUCUCGAGAGGAGGUGAAGAGGCCUCACUGGACACCCUGGUCUCCUCAAAGGCUCAUUAGGCGCAGGGGAGCCGGGACAGCAGCUGUCAGAGACGCCUCUCUCACUGCCAGAUGGCGACGCUUUCAGACGGAUGGAGAUGACCAACAGACACACACACACACACACACACACACACACACACAUACACACACUAAAAAAACAAAUGCCCACUGAAAGCCUGGCACCCGAGGCGGCGCCGGGAAAACGAGACGUGCAUUUACUCUGUCAGGGCCAUAUCGGUGGUGGCGCGGCUCACGGGGGGCUAGUGUGGCGACGGUGUUUAUAUUCGCGCUCCGGCCCUGUUAUCAAGCACUCAGAGAGCGAGCGAGCGCCCGUCACCGGUGUUUGCGUUACGAAUCGAUUCAGAUCCAGGCGGCCCCGUGCUGUCAGAUGGAUGAAAUGGUUCCUGGUGCUCAGUGAAUUCUCCACACACCCCUCCGCUGUGCCCUGUCAAUCCAGCCUAAUUGCCUGCCACCUACAGCAAAGAAAUGGUCCAAGACAGAAUGUCUAUCACUUCAUAUUGUGUAGCUCUGUAAAAUUUGCCUGUCAGCCCCAAAGAAAGAUUGAAACUACUCCAGCAGGCUUUAGCUGAAAGUUACUUCCUAUGAACUACAUAGCACAAUAUUGUAUUCAAUUAUUUGAGAAUUAAGGAAUUAUUAUAGUUUAGGGCAAUCUGGUUGAUUUAAAAAUGUAUAUUUUAACUAUUACUUGGAGCUUAGAACUCUGUGUUAUUUAAUGUCUCAGCUCUCGGGAGCUCUUGAUUAAAGUGUUUUUAUUGGUCCUUAGAGGAUAAAAGAUAAGAGUUUAUCGGUUACCUAGUUUAAUUAGUCAUCAUGUCCCAUCUGUAGUCGUCGACUUCAUCAAUUAUUACUGACUCGGCCUGAGUUACUCCCCCUCAUUUAAAAAUGCAUAAAGCCCUAAUGAUUAGCAGUAUGUGGACCUAAUCUCUGUGCAAAUGAGGGCGAUUCGUGUGACAUUAUCUUCUAGCUUGUACUAAAUCGAGGUCAGGAGCAGGUCGGUCACGGUUGGCUUUCACUUCUGCCACCACAGGGAAGUCUUCCUAACUCAAAUCAAAACCUUGCCCCGCAGAUCUGACUUGUCAGAUUAAGCUGCUGUGUAACUCCUUGAUGUGGCUAUAAAUACAACCUAAAACCCUCA
Alosa sapidissima (American shad) is the source of this 1360-nucleotide long non-coding RNA. RefSeq lists it as uncharacterized. The record is from RefSeq and is a predicted model, not a curated record. The transcript is spliced from 2 exons. NCBI's taxonomy places the organism in Eukaryota, Metazoa, Chordata, Actinopteri, Clupeiformes, Clupeidae.